GCGCGAAAACUUUACAAUGCUGGCAACAGCGAUAAGGGAACCCCGAGUGCCAGGUUACAAAUCUGGCUGUCGAGAUGCCUAAAAAGCAUUUCAUAGCAAGGGCCGGGCAAGACCGGUGCCAGCCGCCGCGGUAACACCGGCGGCUCGAGUGGUAACCGUUAUUACUGGGUCUAAAGGGUCUGUAGCCGGCCGGAUAAGUCUCUUGAGAAAUCUGGCAGCUUAACUGUCAGGCUUUCAGGAGAUACUGUCUGGCUCGAGGCCGGGAGAGGUGAGAGGUACUUCAGGGGUAGGGGUGAAAUCUUGUAAUCCUUGAAGGACCACCAGUGGCGAAGGCGUCUCACCAGAACGGACCUGACGGCGAGGGACGAAAGCUAGGGGCACGAACCG
This 387-nucleotide ribosomal RNA is filed under the name uncultured bacterium. RNAcentral's name for it is "bacterial SSU rRNA". It matches the Rfam family "Archaeal small subunit ribosomal RNA", at positions 339 to 726 of the family's 1478-position model. The record is from RNAcentral.